GGUUGACGUACCUCUAGCCUGCUUUAGGUUGGGAUAACAGAUUCCCUCUCCAUUAGGUUGACGUACCUCUAGCCUGCUUUAGGUUGGGAUAACAGAUUCCCUCUCCAUUAGGUUGACGUACCUCUAGCCUGCUUUAGGUUGGGAUAACAGAUUCCCUCUCCAUUCAUUAGGUUGACGUACCUCUAGCCUGCUUUAGGUUGGGAUAACAGAUUCCCUCUCCAUUCAUUAGGUUGACGUACCUCUAGCCUGCUUUAGGUUGGGAUAACAGAUUCCCUCUCCAUUAGGUUGACGUACCUCUAGCCUGCUUUAGGUUGGGAUAACAGAUUCCCUCUCCAUUAGGUUGACGUACCUCUAGCCUGCUUUAGGUUGGGAUAACAGAUUCCCUCUCCAUUAGGUUGACGUACCUCUAGCCUGCUUUAGGUUGGGAUAACAGAUUCCCUCUCCAUUAGGUUGACGUACCUCUAGCCUGCUUUAGGUUGGGAUAACAGAUUCCCUCUCCAUUAGGUUGACGUACCUCUAGCCUGCUUUAGGUUGGGAUAACAGAUUCCCUCUCCAUUAUUAGGUUGACGUACCUCUAGCCUGCUUUAGGUUGGGAUAACAGAUUCCCUCUCCAUUAGGUUGACGUACCUCUAGCCUGCUUUAGGUUGGGAUAACAGAUUCCCUCUCCAUUAGGUUGACGUACCUCUAGCCUGCUUUAGGUUGGGAUAACAGAUUCCCUCUCCAUUAGGUUGACGUACCUCUAGCCUGCUUUAGGUUGGGAUAACAGAUUCCCUCUCCAUUAGGUUGACGUACCUCUAGCCUGCUUUAGGUUGGGAUAACAGAUUCCCUCUCCAUUAGGUUGACGUACCUCUAGCCUGCUUUAGGUUGGGAUAACAGAUUCCCUCUCCAUUAGGUUGACGUACCUCUAGCCUGCUUUAGGUUGGGAUAACAGAUUCCCUCUCCAUUAGGUUGACGUACCUCUAGCCUGCUUUAGGUUGGGAUAACAGAUUCCCUCUCCAUUAGGUUGACGUACCUCUAGCCUGCUUUAGGUUGGGAUAACAGAUUCCCUCUCCAUUAGGUUGACGUACCUCUAGCCUGCUUUAGGUUGGGAUAACAGAUUCCCUCUCCAUUAGGUUGACGUACCUCUAGCCUGCUUUAGGUUGGGAUAACAGAUUCCCUCUCCAUUAGGUUGACGUACCUCUAGCCUGCUUUAGGUUGGGAUAACAGAUUCCCUCUCCAUUAGGUUGACGUACCUCUAGCCUGCUUUAGGUUGGGAUAACAGAUUCCCUCUCCAUUAGGUUGACGUACCUCUAGCCUGCUUUAGGUUGGGAUAACAGAUUCCCUCUCCAUUAGGUUGACGUACCUCUAGCCUGCUUUAGGUUGGGAUAACAGAUUCCCUCUCCAUUAGGUUGACGUACCUCUAGCCUGCUUUAGGUUGGGAUAACAGAUUCCCUCUCCAUUAGGUUGACGUACCUCUAGCCUGCUUUAGGUUGGGAUAACAGAUUCCCUCUCCAUUAGGUUGACGUACCUCUAGCCUGCUUUAGGUUGGGAUAACAGAUUCCCUCUCCAUUAGGUUGACGUACCUCUAGCCUGCUUUAGGUUGGGAUAACAGAUUCCUCUCUCCAUUAGGUUGACGUACCUCUAGCCUGCUUUAGGUUGGGAUAACAGAUUCCCUCUCCAUUAGGUUGACGUACCUCUAGCCUGCUUUAGGUUGGGAUAACAGAUUCCCUCUCCAUUAGGUUGACGUACCUCUAGCCUGCUUUAGGUUGGGAUAACAGAUUCCCUCUCCAUUAGGUUGACGUACCUCUAGCCUGCUUUAGGUUGGGAUAACAGAUUCCCUCUCCAUUAGGUUGACGUACCUCUAGCCUGCUUUAGGUUGGGAUAACAGA
This is a long non-coding RNA of Oncorhynchus gorbuscha (pink salmon), 1868 nucleotides long. RefSeq lists it as uncharacterized. Lineage: Eukaryota; Metazoa; Chordata; Actinopteri; Salmoniformes; Salmonidae. The transcript has 4 exons. The record is from RefSeq and is a predicted model, not a curated record.